This is a long non-coding RNA of Oryzias sinensis (Chinese medaka), 2398 nucleotides long. NCBI's taxonomy places the organism in Eukaryota, Metazoa, Chordata, Actinopteri, Beloniformes, Adrianichthyidae. The record is from Ensembl.
AUGAACCUUUUCUAUUCACCUUUAUUACUAUUUGGUGUGGUAAACUGCCUUGACCUCCGAGAUCAAGUGUUUGGCUUGGCCAAACACUUAAAUUGGAUGUUAGUCAUGUACACGUAUUUUGCACACAGAAGUAGGGCUGCAGGACAUGAAGAAAAAGUGCAAUACGAGAUAUUACUGAUCAAUAAUGUAAUGACCAUAUGACUUGUCAUCCAUGAAAAAGAAAGAAACAACUAUUAAUAAAUAAUUUCACUGCAACAGUUCUAUUUAAAUAUAACAUAACUUAAAUUAUACUGCAACUAACCCACAUCUAAAGGAAGAGGGCAUCUAAUGAUAUCUUCACACCAGACACGGAAACUCGAGCAAAAGCAUCCAAUGAAAAGUUCACGUAAAUGUACACAUAUGUGCGUAUAAAAAAGUCUCUGUCCAAAGUUCUCAUCUUCAGGUAUCAUUAAACAAGUUUUUAAGUCAGUUUUUGGGUUCUACAUACAAAACGUGCAACAAUUCAAUGCACGCUAAACGUUAAAACAGUUGAUCUUUGACCAAUCAGGUACUCGGAUUUGGUAGUGAUGUAUGGAUAACAUCUUUUUCAAAACACGGAAGUACCAACCGGUUGAAAAUAUAUCGUGAAGGAGAAUUAUUUGCGUUUUUUUCCCUUGGUGUCAUAAAUUAUUUUACACCAAAUAAUAUGACACAAAGUCUUUUAUAUAUCGGAAUAAAGCUGUCAAAGAAAAACCUGGAGUAAGAUUUGUGAGAUUUGCCCGUUUACCAUGUCCUUGAACGCGCCACACAUGCCCAGUGUGUUAUUAACCUAACAUACAAAGGUUCUUUUUGAUUGUUCAGCAACAUUAAGGCUCCAUUUGAUUGCUUAAAUGUGUAAUAAGUUGUAUUUGAUUACCGGUAGUUAAACACUUCAAGCUGCCAUGAGGUUGUUUUAGCAUUUGAUAUCACAGUUUACAUCGUCAGGCUGAUAUUGUGAUGAUACAUUUUGAUUUAUUGUGAAAGACAAAAAUAUAAUUUAAAGAGGAAAAACAUGAGCAAGUCUUUUUACAUUUGAUGAUAAAAUGUUAAUAAUUUUAAAGAGAGGGUUUGUGGUGUUUUAGCAAAGAUUUGCAUGUUUCCAUUUUGACAUGAAUCAGAGCAAAACUAAAAAUCCCCUGUAAACUAAAUAGAGAUAAUCAGCACAAAACACCCUAAAAAAGUCAAGGUAAAUCUUUUAUAAGUUCAGUUAACUGGACCGUGAUUUUCAGGUUGUCAGACUCCCCGUUCUCUCUGCCUGAGAUGCUGCUCUCAGUUGAUGGAGCUUGUGGUCCAGUGAGUUCCUAGCUCAUACAAGCAAGGAGCCGGCUCAGAAAUAAUAAUGAAUCACGUCAACAUGCUAAUGCCCAGUUGAGGCCAUAACGAAUUUGACUGUAUGCUCAGCCACCAGGUUAUCAGUGGAUAAGUCAGGAGCUUGCAGACAGCUCAAUAAUAUUAAUUUAGUCUUUUAUUGAGAAUGUGCUUCUCUUUUAUGUCCUGGUCUUCAUACACCCUACCUUGCUGGCUUCUACUAUCUUUUUAUCUUUUUGAUUAUCCCGUUUGUUAAGAAAAAUCUGCUCUUUAUGGUUAUAUAUAUUAUGAAGCUGAUUAAAGUGGGUCUGAAACCCCUUUCAGAGUUCCCCUUGACCAUUUUUGACCAAAUAAAAGUUAUUACCUUAAGGAGUUAGUAAGGUGAGGAUUUAUUUUUCAUGCAUAAAACAAAUCCUUACCUUCUGCACAUACAACCUCUGUCAACUCAAUAACAUACAAACUGAACAGGGAAUUUUUCACUCAGUGCCACCAGUGGCAUUGAACCCCGUUUAUCUUUUUGAUUUUAGAUUAGCAACACAUCCGCACUUAAAGUGUAACCUGGCAACAAAUCAGUUUGAAAAACAUGAAGUGCAACAGGGGAGGAGGUGUUAUUCUGUUUAAGGUCUUACUCUGCCUUCAGCAAACACAACCUUAUUGUGCCAGUUUUAUCUGACGUAUUUAUCCCAGCCUGUUGUGAAGCGCUGACUUGUUUCCGCUUCUACAGGUGUAACUUUUUCGACAGACUAAAAGGCAAAAACAAAACAAGGACAAGCUUCUUGUGUCAUGAAAUGUCAACACGUUCCUUCAACUUUAUUUUUGGAAUUUAUCUGAAAACCAUGGUGGCUUGAAGUGCAAAUCACAGCAACAAAGUACCCAACGCAAACACAUAUUAGAAACCGCAAUGACUAUUAAAAAAGCAAAACAAAUAAUACAAAAACGACCUUAAAUUUUUGAAAAAGAAAUGAUAAAUUCCAUUAAAACCAAAACACAAUUCCAAAAUAAUUAAACAAAAUAAAAAUGAAACAAUUUUGAAUACAUUUCUAGAAAUCAAUAUGAAGUGUUAAAAAAUCAA